RNAcentral lists this ribosomal RNA (408 nucleotides) under uncultured bacterium. RNAcentral's name for it is "partial 16S ribosomal RNA". It matches the Rfam family "Bacterial small subunit ribosomal RNA", at positions 28 to 526 of the family's 1533-position model. The record is from RNAcentral.
GACGAACGCUGGCGGCGUGCCUAACACAUGCAAGUCGAACGAAGUGGCGAACGGGUGAGUAACGCGUAAUAAACCUGCCCUUCAGAGGGGGACAACAGUUGGAAACGAAUGCUAAUACCGAAUACUGAAGGAGGGGAAUGCGUCUGAUUAGCUAGCUGGAGGGGUAACGGCCCACUAAGGGGGUGAUCAGUAGCCGGGCUGGGGGGAUGAACGACCAAAUUGGGACUGAGACAAGGCCCAGACUCCUAAGGGAGGCAGCAGUGGGGAAUCUUCCGCAAUAGACGAAAGUCUGACGGAGCAACGCCGCGUGAGUGAUUACGGCCUUCGGGUUGUAAAGCUCUGUUAAGCGGGACGCGGUACCUGUAUAAGAAGCACCGGCUAACUACGUGCCAGCAGCCGCGGUAAUUC